CGGGCGGGUCGGCGCCCGCCGGAGGAUAACCAAACUCUGAUUUAACGACGUUUCUUCUGAGUGGUACAAGCAAAUAAUCAAAACUUUUAACAACGGAUCUCUUGGUUCUGGCAUCGAUGAAGAACGCAGCGAAAUGCGAUAAGUAAUGUGAAUUGCAGAAUUCAGUGAAUCAUCGAAUCUUUGAACGCACAUUGCGCCCGCCAGCAUUCUGGCGGGCAUGCCUGUUCGAGCGUCAUUUCAACCCUCAAGCUCUGCUUGGUGUUGGGGCCCUACAGCUGAUGUAGGCCCUCAAAGGUAGUGGCGGACCCUCCCGGAGCCUCCUUUGCGUAGUAACUUUACGUCUCGCACUGGGAUCCGGAGGGACUCUUGCCGUGAAACCCCCCAAUUUUCCAAAGGUUGACCUCGGAUCAGGUAGGAAUACCCGCUGAACUUAAGCAUAUCAAUAA
This 446-nucleotide ribosomal RNA is filed under the name fungal sp. 59809. Its description in RNAcentral is "eukaryotic LSU rRNA". The stretch from base 82 to 235 matches the Rfam family "5.8S ribosomal RNA". Lineage: Eukaryota; Fungi. The record is from RNAcentral.